Molecule: transfer RNA, 69 nt
Filed under: Aptenodytes patagonicus (king penguin)
Lineage: Eukaryota; Metazoa; Chordata; Aves; Sphenisciformes; Spheniscidae
Description: tRNA-Phe
Rfam family: tRNA
About the family: Transfer RNA (tRNA) molecules are approximately 80 nucleotides in length. Their secondary structure includes four short double-helical elements and three loops (D, anti-codon, and T loops). Further hydrogen bonds mediate the characteristic L-shaped molecular structure. tRNAs have two regions of fundamental functional importance: the anti-codon, which is responsible for specific mRNA codon recognition, and the 3' end, to which the tRNAs corresponding amino acid is attached (by aminoacyl-tRNA synthetases). tRNAs cope with the degeneracy of the genetic code in two manners: having more than one tRNA (with a specific anti-codon) for a particular amino acid; and 'wobble' base-pairing, i.e. permitting non-standard base-pairing at the 3rd anti-codon position.
Source: RNAcentral
GUCCCUGUAGCUUACAACUAAAGCAUGGCACUGAAGAUGCCAAGACGUUGCCACACGCACCCAAGGACA